Zootermopsis nevadensis is the source of this 3196-nucleotide long non-coding RNA. RefSeq lists it as uncharacterized. The record is from RefSeq and is a predicted model, not a curated record. NCBI's taxonomy places the organism in Eukaryota, Metazoa, Arthropoda, Insecta, Blattodea, Termopsidae.
UCUGUGUUCCUCUUUAUUGUAUUUAUAUCAUCGGUUUUAUUUCUCAUACUAUAUAAAUAAUAUUAUAUUGGUUUUUGACAAUUUUCCUAACAUAAUAACAGGCAAAUUAAAAAUAUAAAGGAGUCAUGUCGGCAAAAGGUAACCGAAAAAACUACACAGCAAGGAGCAAUUGUGCAGCAGCAUAAGGUAGGAAAAAAUAAGUCAAAGACGGGAUAUUACAUAUGAUAAACUUUACACAUUAUAUAAGUUACCUGAUAUUGUUAGGAUACUGAAGUCUAGGCAGCUACAAUGAAUAGGUCAUUUCAGUAGGAUAGGGAAGACUGAACAUGCAUACAGAAUUUUGGUGAGGAAACCUUGUAGAAAAUGGUCAGUUGAAUGAUGGGAAGGAAGAGAGGAAGAUAGCAUUAAGACAGAUAAAUCUUAGGGAACUAUACUUCGAGCAAGGAGAUGGGUGGGAGUGAUUCGUGAUUGUACUUUAGUAUUAGUAGUGUUAAACUUCUGGUUUUGAUGACCAGAGAGCUAGUGAGAAACUUGGCUUGUAUGAGUUCUAACAAGCAUGAUAAGUGCAUGUCGUUCAAUUCCAGUGAUCCUGCAAUCUCAAACAUUCCACACCGUGUAGAGCUGGUAAAAAUCUUCCCACCAGCAUAAUGUGAGCACAAGAUAAACUGGAUCCUAGCAUCUAACAAAUUUCAACUUUCCAUAAAGUUUCUCGCAUUCAGACCUUUCACACACAAUGUGCUUCAUAGUUUGGUACUCUACUAUGCCAGAGUUCUAUUUAAGGAUGAGGUUAACACAGUAAUAAUAUGCCUGACCCUUGUUUCGGAGUAACCUGAUUUUAAACCUUAUCACCAACUAUGACACAACAGUAAACAAACUGAAAGAUUAAAGUAAAAUAUUCAUUAAUAGUCACUACCUUAAAAAUUCAUUCUACAUCUAAAGUAGCAAAUUAAUAUUAAUCUGAACAAAUAAAAUAAUUUAAAAUAUUUGUUGCUACAGAAAUUGACAUAUACAUGCAACAUUAAGGUAGCAAACUUUUUUUGUCAUAUCAUGUCUUGUGUGUGAAAAGACUCAAGUUUCUAGCCCAUAUAAUAGCGUCCUAGUAACAUUUCAAUCUGUGGGUUUUAGAUGGCUGCAAAAUGGUCAAUGAGUCUGAACUUACAAUAGCAAGCCUCCCAAAAAUUAAUUUCCUAUUACUUUUUUAAUCCAAUUUUGAUCUGUUUAUGCUGUCCAAAAAUAUUUAAACCAUGAUAAAAUUUCAUGGUGUGCAUUGUCUGCCUAUAUUAAGAGUCUGUUUGCAUUCUUUUGAGAAAACAUGAAUGCAUACAAAUUUUCUCUUCUCUUGUAGAAAUCUGGGUUUUUCCAUACGGUAUUUUUGUUCCUACUAACCAACCAACCCACCCACCCACCAACUGACUGACCGACCAACCAACAAGCCAGCCAACCAUCCACCCAGCCAACUGACCGACCGACCAACCAACGAGCCAGCCAGCCAACCAUCCACCCAGCCAACUGACCGACCAACCGACCUGAUGGCUUAGGGAACCUGAAGAUUUGUGCUGGGCCAGCAAAAUCCAAUGGAUUCCAACUCCCAUUUCCCACAAUUUUUUUACAGUGAAACGUUGUUUCCCUCAUACUCAAUCCCCAAGCUGUCAGCUGCUGGUGACUGCUUAUUCAAUAUAUUCGCAGUUAACCUCCAUAAUUGGAGGCUGUUCCUCCAUCUGCAGCCUGAGGACACCAUGCCACAGUGACAGGUUUUUUGUUCCUACACAGUAAAUUAAUCUCACCAAUAAGGAUCAGAAAGUGAUGUUGAUAUUCAGUUUUAAUUUCUCCUGAUUUUCUGAGGCAUUACUUCUGGCAUAAAGAAAAGUUUUGCAAUGGCAGUAAGGUUUAUAUUUUCAGACCACUCUGAAUAGGAAACACAGACAAAUGUUUAUCUGUAUGGACUUUACUGUAAGUUUUUUAAACACAUUUUAAUUAGUACACCUAGGUAGGAUUUGAGGGUCUCAUAACAGUGAGUACAAAGAUGGUUGUCUUCUGGGUUGUAGCACCAUGUAGUCUGGUAGAAGCUUAACAAAUAUUCAGAGGUCCCUGCUGUUCCAUCAUCAGGACAGUGACUCAUGAUCUCCGAAAUGUUGGUAAAUUUCUUCUAGACUGUACAGAUCUACAAUCCAGAACACAGCCAUCUUCAUUAGCCCAACUAGUUUCAUGUAUGUACUAAAUUAAGUGAGAAUGUUACACAACUCUUUUCUUCUUAUAGAAAUGUUUCAAAGUAGAUGAGGUACAAUCCAAUUGUACUCUUAGUUUUUGCCCAUUAUCUGGUGAUAUGACUUAUUCAUUUUUGUAUUAUCUGCUGUAUAUAAAAAACUGGUUUCAUCUCUACUGUAAGCUGUAUUAAGGUGAUGAGUAAAGCGUGCCUUUUGGUCAGAAUCUAUACCUGGAAGCAUAAACCACAAUGAUACAUAUGACUUGCAUUACAAGAGCUUUGUUUCAUUGAACUUUUUAAUGUAAAACCUGAUUCUUUGACUUUUGCUGAAUGCUUGUCCACAGGUAAAACACCCAAGUUCACCACUAUUCUCAUACUUGACAACUCAAUAUUGUAACAGUCUGGCAUUGAAACAACUUUGUAAAACCAUCACUGAAGUUUUUCAGCACCACCAAUAUGUGGACAGGAUCACUGUUUCAUUGUUUGGAUUUCUGGAUCAUCUGUUCAGUUCAAGCUGUAUUCUGUCUGUGUCAGAAAAAUUGCAGUCAACAUUUACAUCUGACAUACUGCAGCGUAUGAAGAUUUAGAUUGAUCUUAUGACCCAAAUCCCAGCAGCCACAGAACUGAAACUGCCCAACCUGGUUGCCAUGGACAUGUCUGAUCUACUAAAUGAGCUAGACUCAUUUGACCAAAUCAUGUACAAAAAAGAAACCAGCACUCUUGACAUGUCUGCAGCUGAAAUAGACCAGUAUUGUUGAGCAAAUCCCCACCACCUGAAUUGCUGUUUAAAGAUGUGAGCAGUACAAUUUUAUGAAGGAACAAAGAAACACAGCAAUCAAUGUCAUGUUUAUGUUUGUUUCCUUGUUAAUAAUCUUUUAGUAUGUUUAUUUGUAUGAAUAUUUUUGGUUAUUUGAAAAUUGUAAUGUAAAAGUUGCAUUUGUGAAAUUGAAACAUGGGAUAAAUGGCUAAUUAAAUAAAAUACAAAACAAUAAA